AUCAAACGGCUACAAACAAGGGGGCCCUCUAAAGUUAUAAUAAAUGUAGCCGUUGGAUCAAAUUUCAACUACCCGAAUCCCUUGCUUAGCAGGCUCAGCUUUAAUGGGUCCGAAAGGGAUCCGGUUCCUAAAAAUUGUAGUACAUAGCAACAAAUUGAUGUGGCAUCCUCCAAAACCUUGCAUAGAUAAAUUGUGAAGGGUAAAAAUCUGGCAGUAAAAACUGUGGAUUUAAAUUAAUAUCUUAGUAUUAUUCCUCUUGAAGAAAGUUAAAGUUCUAACUUAAACUCUCGCAAGGUUUCUCCUUUUACCAACGUGGGAUUCUUUUACCUUUACAUCUCACACAUUGACUCACGUGUAGUGAAUUUUCAAGCCAAACAUGUGGACAACAUGAAUUGAGUGUCGUGGAGCACAUGUGACCAUUGGUCUUCACACGUAGGGUUAACCUAGCUCUGAUACAUGAAGAAAGUUAGGGUUCCACCAUAGAACCAAUUGGCAAUAUAGGGAGUAGUCCAACCUCUUAUAAGCAGGUUUUUUCUUUCACCAAUAUGAAACUUUUUUACCUUCACCCAACAUUAAAGUUGAAGGAAAGGGAUCCUCUCCGGAUCCCUUCCUCCUAAUCUACCAAAUCUGGGGAUCCAGACCAUUGAAAUUUGAUUCAACCGCUAAAGUUAUUAUAACUUCUAAAGUGGGCCCCUAUUUGUAGUCGGUAGAUUAAAUUUUAAUGGUUCGGAUCUUCGAACUUAGUGGAUUAGGAGAAAAUGAUCCGGAGAGGAUCCCUUUCCAAAGUUGAAAACAAUUAUAUGCAAAAGCUCCUGAAGUUCCUUGAGAAUCUACGAAGACGACAUUAAUUAUCAUGUUCAGAUUUUGAUUUCACGAAGACAUUCGCAUUUUAUUUAUUUUUUUCCAUUCUGUACUUUUUACCCUAGUCCCCUUUUUUCCACCAAACAAUUGUUUAAUUAAAGUACUGUUUAUCUAAAACUUAAGAGUAAUGAUAAGUAAAACAAUUUUUUAGAUCAAACUGCAAUUCAUGUGUGCAACAAUUAAAAAUACUUAAAAUAUAACUUUAACCUCUCAAAUUCAAUUUCUUUUAUAUAAAAUCCGACAAAACCUCUUUAUUCAAAUAAAAUCUAAUGAUCAGACUCCACAUAACCACAUUUAUUAAUUACAUUUGACUUUACACAUUUUAAAUUUUCCCAAUAUCUAAAAUAUCCUUUUUUGCAUGUUUUCAUGUGCACAAUUAAACAUAUGCAGAUUUUAAGAAGGAUUAAUAAUUUUACAAAAAUAAAAAAGCACUAAUAUUCUAAAUGCAUUGCAUGUUAUAUGAGAAUUUAGCAUUUUCACGUUUUGUAAUAAAUUUGGUUGAUUCAUGUUUCUCUCAUUCCAUAAAAUUUGCUUCUAAUUUGAUAUAGGAAUUAAUUUGGAAAGAUUUCUUAAUCUUAACAAUAUUUUUCAAUUUGAAUAUAUUUUUGGGUAAAUUACAUUCAACCACCUCAACUUUAAGCCACAUUACAAUCUCAUACCUCAUAUGUUAAACAUUACAAUGUCAAACCUCCGUUAAAAAAUUUGUUAAGUAAGCAGUUAAGUGAUGAUGUGGCGACAUUGAAUCCCACAUUUGUGCUGACAUGUCACCCAACUAAUGCCACAUGGCCAAACAAGUAAUAAAA
This 1664-nucleotide long non-coding RNA is filed under the name Malus domestica (apple). RNAcentral's name for it is "long non-coding RNA (MDOM_LNC012275)". The record is from RNAcentral. Lineage: Eukaryota; Viridiplantae; Streptophyta; Magnoliopsida; Rosales; Rosaceae.